GCCAAUCAAAUCCGUCAAGUAGGCCGUCUCCGGUGUAUGCACUACAUCCCACGAUUCUCCAGUGCCGGCUAUUAUCCAUGGCCUCCAGGUUGAGCACCUGAAUCAGAAGAAGUUAGGUUCCCUCUGUUUUAAUGUAAACAGAACUUUAGGAAUAAAUGGCCAUACACGAAAAAUAGAUGGGUUGAGGAUCAAUGUGAAAGAAAGUUAAGCCAGCUGAAGUAAUUUGAACACUACCUACUCAUACUUCCUAAACCAUGGCCAGAAAGAAGCUACUUUCCUGAUCUCUCAGUACUUUCUUAUCCAUGGCCUCCAGGUUAAGCACCUGAAUCAUAAGUAAGUUAUUUUCCCUCUGUUUGAAUGUAAACAGAACUUUAGGAAUAAAUGUCCAUACACAAAAGAAAAAUAGAUAGGUCGAGGAUCAAUGUGAAAGAAAGUUAAUAGCCAGCUGAAGUUAUUUGAAC
RNAcentral lists this long non-coding RNA (461 nucleotides) under Nicotiana benthamiana. RNAcentral's name for it is "long non-coding RNA (NBEN_LNC035648)". The record is from RNAcentral. Lineage: Eukaryota; Viridiplantae; Streptophyta; Magnoliopsida; Solanales; Solanaceae.